GGGGCCAUAGCUCAGUUGGCAGAGCGCUUCGCUUGCACCGAAGAGGUCGCCGGUUCGAAUCCGGCUGGCUCCA
RNAcentral lists this transfer RNA (73 nucleotides) under Solirubrobacterales bacterium. RNAcentral's name for it is "tRNA-Ala". It matches the Rfam family "tRNA". From Rfam's summary of the family: Transfer RNA (tRNA) molecules are approximately 80 nucleotides in length. Their secondary structure includes four short double-helical elements and three loops (D, anti-codon, and T loops). The record is from RNAcentral. Lineage: Bacteria; Bacillati; Actinomycetota; Thermoleophilia; Solirubrobacterales. RNAcentral also lists the same sequence under 3 other names.